CCACCCCCUCCCAGAUGUCAUUUAAGGGUUGGCAGUGGAGACAAUAGCUGUGCAUACCUGAGGUCUUCUGAGGAAGGACUCACUACUUCUUGCAGCAGCACAUCUUAGGAAAAAAGAAGAUAGCAUCUCAUUGAAAUGAGAACCUGAAUAGCACUCACAGUGAUGGAGGACAGUCUUCUAAAUUGCAGAACGAUUAAAUCCAGCUCUGAUGGUUGAUUUCUUGACCUCAGAGACAGCUAAUCCUCAGAUACAGAAAAUGGAGGCUUUUCCUUUUUUGACCGGAAGAAGGCUUUUUGGCUCUAGAGUCUGCCCAUCAGCAACAAAGGAGGAAGAAAAAUUCUCAGUGCUUUGGGAAUCUCUCAGCAUUACUCAUCCUCACGAGUGGGCCAAAAUUUAUGCAAGGAGCAACGAAGUUCUCAGAUGUGUUCUCCAGGAGCUUCAGACAGAUGCUGAAUCACUGCACAAAGGGAAAUGAACUUCAGAAGUGAGAUUCUUCCUCCUUCCAGGCUUGUCCAUCACUAUUCAAAUGGAAUUUUGCUCCUAUUUCUUAAAUAUCUUCUCAUAUGCCAUUACAUUUCAGCAGUGUAUUGAUUUAAUCACUGAUCAGGAAACUGAAACUGUAAUAACAACAUGAUGUACAGAGAAAUUCCAUAAUUAUUCUGUUUGAAUCUCCUGGACAAGAGAAGACUAAGAGGGGGUCUUGUAAAUGCUUAUAGCUAUUUAAAGGAUAGAAGUCAAGUGAACAGGACCAGGCUCUUUUCAGCAGUGGCCAGUGACAGGACAAGGGGCAAUGGGCACAAACUGCAACAGAGGAAGUUUCAUACAAAUGUGAGAAAGAACUUUUUUACUUGAGGUUUACAGAGCACUGGAACAGGCUGCCAAGAGCAGUUGUGGAUUCUCCUUCUCUGGAGAUACUCAAAACCCACCUGGAUGCUCUCCUGUGCAACCUACUGUAGGGAACCUGCUUUAGCAGGGGGUUGGACUUGAAGAUAUCCAGACAUUCCUUCCAGACCCUAAGAUUCUCUGAUUCUGUGAAUUGUUAGCAAAUAUUUGAGGUAAUGGCUGUAGUUCAGAUCAUCAGGAUAUAACGCUGAUGUGACAGAUGUGGAAUGUGAAAAUGAGAUUCAGACUCAGUGAUUGGUAAAAAUUCUAACAGAGCCUCCAAAAUAACUAAGACUCACUGAUUCCCUGCCUAUCUAAGAGUAGCCUGUCCUUCUGCAUUUCCAUGUCAGUUACUUUGGAAGACUUUGAGACUUCUUUUAUGGUGUUUUGUAGUUUGUUUUUGCACUCUGUCAUUGUUAAAAUGAUUUCUAAAUCAUAUCCAUGUCAAUUUUAAUUCUAGAUGUCCGUGUUCCCAUAAUUACCUGUUCGGAUGUUGUGUUUGUGCAUUUGCAAAGGGUGGAUUUCUGCUGAAGUCCACUCCAAGGGGGAUGUGCACUUAGGCUGAUGAAAGUCACCCCACAAAGAUAAGGCAAUUCAUCUCUUGUUUACCCAUGUAGCACGCAGGUACAGAGCAAGAGUACUCAAAGAUAUAACCAGUGUUCUGUGAUCCUGUAGCAGAAGUGAUUUUGAUACAUGAAACUGUGGUUAGACUACAAACAUUGAGUAAAAGAAAGGCAGUUAUUGCCUGAAAUCAUGCACAGUUUAUGCUGCCUGGUAUUCUAAGAGCUUUAUGAUAUGUUUUCAGGUACUUGAGACUGGACUUGGACAGCUGAGGGAAAAGCAUAGAAAGGAAUACACAAGUAUUGUCCCUUUUCAAAACAGGUAGAGAGCUAUGAAAUGGGAUGUGGUGAUGAAGGCCUCUUGAAUAGUGCUAAAUAACUUGAAAUACAUGCUCUCUUUUGAUGUGGGAGGGUUAGGGGACACUUAGCAUGGAAUGGAAGUGGAGGCACAUCUGGGAAGAGACUAAUAACUGCAGUUUUUUAAUUGCUGUAACUCUGCCUGAUAAGGGUACUUCCAAGCACAGAUACCAUUUGACUAUCAUCAUUGUCAUCUGCUGAUACAGUCUCUUACUCUACAGCAGCUAAAAACAAAGCCACACAUGUUGUAAAAAACAAUUCUUGUGUGCAUGCCCAGUUUUGACCCUAGAGUAUUUAAGACCAUACAUGUGUCAAGGUUUUAUCCUUUUCGUCCCCAGAUAACUAUCAGGUUGUCUCACAUUUCUGGUGAAAUGCAUUAACUCUUUAUGAUGGAAAGAUCAGUCUCUGGCAGGGUCUUCAAGAUCCAGAGACCUUCAUGUUUCAUCUCACUAAGGAAAAUGAGAGGCCUCAGAGGCUGCAUUAUGAACCUGGAAAUGAUUCAUGACUCACACUAUUUCCAUUGCAGCUGAAAUCAAAACUAAAAUCAUUUGAAGGGUAUUUUGGAAGGAAAACCAGCAGGGGAUAGGCUGUAUGAGAAUACCAAAACAGUGUUCAUGCUAACUUGGGCAAGUUAUCUUUGUAAGUGUUUGAAAAAUCACUGCCUUAAUUUUACCAAAAACUACUAAAU
Numida meleagris (helmeted guineafowl) is the source of this 2487-nucleotide long non-coding RNA. RefSeq lists it as uncharacterized. The record is from RefSeq and is a predicted model, not a curated record. The transcript is spliced from 7 exons. NCBI's taxonomy places the organism in Eukaryota, Metazoa, Chordata, Aves, Galliformes, Numididae.